GGGCAUGUGUUUUAAAUGUUUCUUUGUGACUAGGGAUGUUGAGUUGUGUCAAAAGUUCCUGUUUCAUAAUUGACCUUUGCCACCAUCAACUUAUAGAAAAUAGGGUUUCAAGAAGUCAGAUGGAGUGGCCUGCUUUCAACACCCAGAGCUAGUGAUGCAGGACCAGGUCAGCUCCUACCAAGGAUUCCUGCUCACACUGGGACACGUAAGUAAGGUAAGGAGCUGUGGACCUGAGGGGAACAUCUGUCAGCUUCUCCAAAGUCUUCUCAACAAGAUCAUCAUCGCAAGAGCAGGGUCAUGAAAGAAUGCUGGUUGUGGUCCAUGAACUCACAGAAAUUAUAAACCAUCUUUGAGGAAAGAAUCAGUCCAUCUGAAGAGUGUGUUAAAGGGAAAAAUAAGACAAAGACAUGGAGCUGCAGCAAGGGGACAAAAUGGAUGAAGAGGAAAAAGAGAAGAAAACCACAUAUUUUUGCUGUAGAAACAUGUAGUUUCUAAAUGGAUAGCACAACUUAAGUAAGGCUUUUUGCUGUAGAAACAUAGUUUCUAAAUGGAUAGCACAAAUUCUUCUAAAUGAACAAAAUAUGGAUGUAAAAAUACUUAGUCUGUGAAAGCCACACUUUUGAGAACUAAUUUAAUUACUCAAAUUCAAAACCAGUAUUUAAAGGCUUAUGACUAAAUAUUACCUUGUUUGUUACAUUCUGGCUUGGCUUGUUUGUUACAUUCUGCUUACGCUUUUUUUGUUUCACUUUUAUCAGUUCUGCAGACAGGACUAUGGUGCAAAAAAGGGUUUACCAGAAGUGAGUAUUGAGCAACAGUCUCAUCUUAAAAUACUUUUGCAAGUUGUUAUGCAAAAUCAGUUGCAGAAAAAUUAUUGAGCUAUUAAACAGAUCAAUUAUGCUAUCUGCAGUCGAGAUUUGUUCAGCCCGUUCUCUUUCAGAGAAUGUUCUAUUUGUAUGCAUAGAGUAGCCAAUACAUGCUAAAUGUCAGGCCUCUUACAACAAGUAUGCCAAUAUAGCAGAGGAAAGUUUUCAUUUAAUUUGCAUUAAAAUAGAAAUACAAUGGUGUCAUUUCAGGAACUGUAAAAUUUAACUAAUACCAAAACAGUACAAUUUCCACCCUCAUUUUCUAUCCCCUCUUGUGUACCAUGCACAGAAAAACAAGCUUUACUAAACAAGAGAUUUGCUUUUCUAUGAGAGCUACCUGUUGCAUUUUUUUCUUUUCUUUUCUUUUUUUUUUUUUAGUAAUUUUUCUAAGCUUACUUAGAUUUUGACAUUGCUCUUUGAAUGCAGGAGACACGAUGAAAUAAAUUAUUUGCUUUGGAAA
This is a long non-coding RNA of Aethalodelphis obliquidens (Pacific white-sided dolphin), 1323 nucleotides long. RefSeq lists it as uncharacterized. Lineage: Eukaryota; Metazoa; Chordata; Mammalia; Artiodactyla; Delphinidae. The transcript has 2 exons. The record is from RefSeq and is a predicted model, not a curated record.